RNAcentral lists this unclassified non-coding RNA (7988 nucleotides) under Daphnia magna. RNAcentral describes it as "ectopic P granules protein 5 homolog, transcript variant X3". Lineage: Eukaryota; Metazoa; Arthropoda; Branchiopoda; Diplostraca; Daphniidae. The record is from RNAcentral.
UCCUGGAAUCUGGAUCGAGAGAUAAGGCGAAGAUUAUUGUUAAAGUUCUUAUUGUGCGUCAUUUUCAGUUGACCAAAAUCUAUGUGAAUUUACGGUAUUGGCUAACCAAAAGCCAUGGCUGAAGCAGUGCGCCCAAAGAGUAAGAAAAAAGGGAAACCUAAGUUAAAGGAGAUAUUGGUUGAACAUGCUGAUCCCUUCUCAAAUACUGAAAACCAGCCAAGCUGUUCAGGGACUGAGAGUGACAUUAAAAAAGAACUAGGAACCAUCUUGCCAAGCAUAGAAGAUGAGAUCCAACAGGGUGCACCCAUCACAACAGAAAGUCAUAAAAACAUUACAGCCAAACAUAUUCCAAACCAUUUAGUUGAAGAUGAAGCCAAGUUAUUUGAAAAUGGAUCUGAACGUGUGUUUGCUAAACAAGAAAAUGAAGCUGUGUUGUUUCAAGAAGGUUCUAAAUUGCAAGAAGCUUCAAUAUGUGAGAAUUCUAUUCAUGAACAACUCAUGGAACUUUUAAUUGAAUCACCAAAAAUUAAGCCAGAAAUUCCCUCAGCACCAGCUCCUAGCAUGUUGAAUGGUACCUUUGAAUUCAACCUUGACCUACCUAUUGAAGAAAAGGCAGCAGACAUUGUAUUUCCACAGUCAUUUGAAAAUAGCAUCAGUCAAGCUGUUUACAAGCAACAACAAUUCAAUAGUUUAAAACCUUUCACUGCAGAGCAGCUGGUGUCCUUUUAUGAAAACCCUUUAUUAUUGGGCGAGGAGGCUGUGGUGGAAAGUUUUCUUGACUGUCGAAAAAAUUUAGAAACGCAUCCCUUAUAUGAAAACCUAACAUACUUUUUGCGCUCUCGACUUAUGUUAAAAAGCAAUUUAGAAGAACUUGAGCAGUUUAAUCGAGAUGUUGAAGCUUUGACAUCUCAGCUGUGGACAACAGAAACCAGAAGAAUGAUUGAAUAUGGUGAAUGCGCCGACAGCAAGCGAGUUAAGGCGCACUACGAUUUCCCUGUGGCCCAUCUCAAUGAGAAGUCCUCACUUCAGCUAAUUCGGCAGUUACAGCAACAACGUGAAAAAAUUCAAGAAAAGCUAGUUUUGAGUGUCUACGAAUCUCACUUGUGGAGGCUGCGAGUUGAUUGGUUAAUUUGCCAGGGCAGCCAACACAGUGAACAUGGCUCCAUUUCGGUUCUUUUUGCCUUUUUGCGUCGACCAGUCAAAGAUAAAAUGUUCGUCGAUCAUCUGAAGUUCUGGUUAAAUUACGUUGCCGUUUCUUUAUUGAAACGAGCUAGAAAAGAAGAUUAUAUUUUCCUUGCUCAUCACGCAGUGCGCUGCCCAACUGGAUUGGCUAGAUGGGGAAGUCCGUACGUGCAAACACCUUUUUAUGAUCCUUUCGAAGACCGCCAGGGCACAAACAUUCAUCACGUUGAUGUCGGAUUAGCCUUACUGUCCAUCCUCUGUCAGCCGGUUCGAAGCCGCCAAGAAUUCCUUCAAAGCUGGGUUGAUCCCGACCAGGACAGCCAUUGGGUAUGGCUGGAUUCAGAGGGUGAAGACGAAUGUAGUGGUAAUCAAACGUCUGUGAUGAACUUGACAGAUGAUGACCUCUUGUCAUUACUUAAUCAAAUUCCACUGGCCAAUGUUUUCCGUUUUGCCUUUCGACUACGGAACCAAGAUGAAAUGGACGUCUCUACCGGCUUACUUGAAGCUAGCGAAUGGCUCCGCGCGUUCGCCAUUUGCCGUCAUCUGCUAAAAAUGUUCGACUCCGGAAUGAAAACCUAUCAAGGAAAACGCUACAAGAACCUUGCCAAAAAAUUUGGGCAGCUGAUUUUACAUACUGUUUGCAAUCUGUCGGACUUCUGGCAAGAGCAAAAAGCGUUCGUGACGUCUAUGGGAGAACGAUUAUCGAGGGAAUACGAACACUUAUUCCUAGAAGGAAUAUCUUUAUUGAUCGGAACAAGGCAACAGCGAUCAUGGCAGCUUCUAAGUCGAAUUCCGCUAAGUGGGCUGACUCCUAGACUAAGAUUCGAGCUCUGGUUGCGAUGGCACUCGGAGAUUAUUGGCGAGCCCAUUGAGAUGGAUAUUUCCGAUUCCUUCCACUCCGACUCCUUUUGGAAUCUUCUAAACACGAAAUUGGUUCAACUCCCUGAACCAGAUCGGUUCGUCUUUCUGGUGACUCUGGCAGAAAUGGCCAGUGAUGGCUCCACCUCGUCUGAAGACUGUUUUCUCCAGCUAGUCGCCUGGGAAUUAACCGAACUCGGGUUGUUGAAUAAACUCACCAGGGAAGUUUGUUUCAAAACCGCUGCGGAAUUGUUAGUCACUAUAAUCAGCCGUUUUCCGCCACUUGUCUCUUUCGUCUUACAACGGUUGGAGGUCCAGCAACUGAUACCUACCGCUUCAUUAUCGUUGUUCAAAGAUUUACCUUUACAUCGAUGGAAACCUACCACUAAGGACUUCCAAUUACUACGAAAUUGGUUGCUAAAUGACGCCCUGGAUUCCGUCCGUCAUCAGCUUACCGUCACAGUGUUGACUCGUUUGAACUGGACCUUAGAAGACAAUCCUAAACGUCCUUUCCUGACAACAUCUUUCCACCAGCAGACGGCUUUACUAUUGACAGAGGUUGUAGCCGUUCAUGGCAGGCUUCCAGUCCCUUCAGCCGUUCCAGUGUUGGCAUCAAACUUUCUGGCCGAUUCUGUGCAGUUUCUUGCCAGCUUUUCGCGUUCGUGGAAUUCUUCGAGCUUGGUCCAAUGGGCCUGGCACCUAGCCCUCAAACUCCGCUUACACACAUUUGACUGCUUCCCGGAUCAUCUUAUGUGGAUUCUGCACCAUCCACAACAGGCCUUCCGCAACGUACGGCAACUGCAAGACGACCCACAAUUGUCGAUUUUGCGCCAACCACAGCCUACACCUUUAAGCUGCUUCAUAGCGCUCUCCAUGACGAAUGCCGGACAUAGUGUCCCUGAAUUUUGUUCGGUCGGCAUGGAUCUCUUGUACAUUUUGAGUAUCGCUGAUCAACACCGCCCCGUCGUGGCCUUCCUCAACCAUUUAUUUCCCCUUAUAGUCACAUGCCCUGAUGUACUCUACGAUCAGCCUAAAUUGCUAGAAAUCUUCCAACGACUAAUUCAGGCUGAUCUGACUUACUACAAGAGGGCUAAAAACUUGUUGGCACCCCAAUUUCCUGGAGUAGUCCUCAAAAUGAUGGCUUCCUUAAUCGAAAACACCAUUUGGAAGCUGAACGGGUUAUAUUUGACUGGAGCCACACCUGCACUUGAGAUUUGGCUAAAUUUACUCACAAGUCUACCCAAAUGGAAUGUCGACAAAAGUGUGCUUUAUCUCCUUGACAUAUUGGCUAGAAUCGCCUGGGCGAAUUCUUCUGAUAUCCAAAGUUUUAAUCGAAUAUUAUCCGUUGUUCUUAAAGAAUCAAGUAAAGUUCAUCGGCCGUCCAAAGGUAUCGUGUCACGCGUAGGUAAUUGGGUGAGUGGAUCAUCUGAGGCUCUUGUUCAGUUGGAUGCAACCGAAUUGAUUUCACCCACCCCUUCGCUGCCUUAUCUGUCAUGGAUAGUCUUAGGAAUGGAGAUGGAACGCCAGUCUAAAUUGUGGCAACAUCUUAUCAUCGAAUUGCAACCGGGCAAGGUGAAAAGCAUCGAACAAGCUUUGAAAUCCAUUGCAGGAUUUCUUAAAAUUCCGUACAUUGGUGUCCAUCAACUUUGUUUGAUCCGCUACGCGCAAAUGGCAUUGGAACUGAAUCCAGACCACCCGCUUUUGCCGGUAAUCAUCCAACGUUUCUUCAGUCUGUAUUUUGCUCGUACAGAAGCAAUGGAAGUUGGUACUGAUAGCUGGGCCGUCGGGCAACGGAUCAUGACGAAUUCGUCCACUUUUUCUUCCUUAUUGAAACGUCUCGUUUUGAAGUGGGAAGAAAGUGCAAAAAAAUUUCAGAGUGACCUCCUGCGUUCCAGUUUUUUGCAAAGUUGCUGUCUUUGGGUGGAAGAUGUCAAAUUACUAGAACCUCACGUUUAUUUGCCAUCUUUAGCACCAAAUUACCACCCUGCACGACUUCUCCAACUCUUUCAAGGCUCCGAUUUAUGGAUAGACUUGUGCGACUUGAACGCCAUUCACGCGGAUCGUCAAGAACUAAGAGAAUCAUGGAAUAAGGAGAGAAACAUUACUUCGCCAACAGUUUCCCAACAGAAAUCAGCGGAGUCUCUACAUUCUCAAAAAGACACCAUCUAUGCAAGACUGCAAACCUAUCCGACCCCUAUCCGUUUAACUCAGGUGGCCCUCCAGCUUCCGUUUUCCAGGCUUUUGUUAACGGCUUUCAGAAAUGCUAGUGAUUUCCGCCUACAACUUAUUCCGCAUCUUCAAGUUAUAGUAGACUGUGCAGAUCAAUUCAAUCGACGAAUGGCCGAAUUGACGUCCCUUGACUGUCACUAUUCCGAGCUAUUAACAGAACUAUAUUGUCCCUACCGGUCCGAACGGACAAUGACUGUCAAGUGUGAUGGAACACAAUCAGGAGCUUGUAGUGGAUCGGCUGUAAUAAAACUGAGUUGCGAGCCUUGGAGACUCAAUACUUCCGUUCGUAAACAGUUAGACACCAAUAGGCAAGAAGCGACUCGGUUACACUCGGCCUUUCAGGAUGCCAAUGUCCAGUGGCUUUGUGUGGCCGCUCUUCUUCUCGAAGAUUGUGUCGAUCAAAUCCAAGGCUCAUCGGAUCCGAACGUACUAGAAACUGGAGCAGCUCUCUUUUACAUCUUGGUUGAGCUUGUCGGUGAAGAGAGUAACAAUUAUUUACCUACCAAACAGUUGCUAUCUACUUGUCUUGAACGAUUAGGUCAGCAUUGCAUUGCCGGGCAUCCUGAACAGUGCCGAAACCUCGUAGGAUUGUUGAGCAGUAAUUCCAAUUUGGCCGGUCUAGUGGCACCUCAUUUCACUCCAUCGACACCGGAUCCUUCCAGUGCCUCCGUCAGCGCGUUUUUGGACUCGUAUCGGCUAGUUAUAGGCCUUUCCAAGCAAGAUAGUGAUCUUGUUCUUGUUCUUCUUACCAAGUUCGAUGUCCGCUGGUGGUUGAACUGCGCUGAGUGUUGGCCACACGAUCGCUUAAAAUUGUUGGAAAUCAUCUUCGCUGCCUUGGAUAGUUAUGGUCUGCAGCCAGUGGAAAGAGCACUGGCAGUUCACGAAGUCCUACGACGUCAUUUACAACUAAUACUGUCGCAAAAUUUCCCGGAGCAGUACAGUCACUUUCUACACCAUUUGCUAAAAGCUAGCGAAGCCCAAAGUUGCAGUCCUGUGGUUUGGUGCGAUACGAUUAAUACCCUAGGUCAAGGAUGGCUCCGCCUUCAACCGGAGUUAAGCAUGGAGGAGUUUCUUCAACAAGUUUUGCAAUACACCACCCAGCAGACGUUACUGGAUGCCAAUAAAAUGAUGGAAACGGUAAUUUUAAUGUCUCAACACUUUUCCACGGAACGACAACUCCAUGGUCUUUAUGGAUUGUAUCCAAAGUAUCGGCCUUAUAUCCAUGUUAUCGCCUGCUUCCUUCUGACAAUCGGCCAUGGAUUGUGUUUUACCACAUUGCAGAAUGAUAAUGGGACAGCUUCUGAUUUGCUGGUUGGGCAGCUCUGGGCUGCUAUUCGGGACCUAUAUUCCCCCUGGAUACUUCCCUACACCCAGCAGCAGGUGAACUCCAAUUGUGCCGCUUGGAUUCAACACGCCUUGUCUGACUGUAAAGUUUUAUUGCCAUGGAUCGCUGCCGAUAGUGGUUUAGCAUCACUCAUGGCCUCUUCUCUUACCCACUGUACCACAUUCAUUCAUGAGACGCUUCCUGCUCAGCAGAGUAUCUUGUCUCACAUACUGGCCUUCUAUUUGCAAGGAUUUUGCCACACAGCAAUUAAACUGCAUAUACUUAAGGUAAUCCACCAAGCACUGGAUACGUUACCAUGGCAAUCAUUUGUUCCGUCACUGAAUGAUUUGGAGCAGUUAGUCCGUGUAGCAGGACAGUUCUUACCCGAAGUGCAUUCCUUCCUAGUCAGUCUUUUCGUCCGUUGCUGCUUAUCCACAGUGAUUGUCCACUGUAACUCGCAGCCGACAACAUGUGCGAGACUGUUAGCCUGCUUACUGCACCUGCAUGUCCGGUUAGCUGGUGAACCGACGGCUCAACAGAAUCCCAUGAUGAAACGAAUCCUAGACGAAGCUUGCUCAUAUCCGUGGCAAUUCAUAGACGCUAGUGUCUAUGAUCAAGUAUUAAAUUGGUACAUCUCAACUUGUGAUCCACUUUUCAUUUUGCAACCCUACUUGGAGCGACAAGAAACACCGUGCAGUUCCAAUGAUCCUCUGGUGUUUCGUUUGUUACAAGCGGUCAGUAGCCACCAUUUGCAGUCAAGCGACCAUAUUGGCAACUCACCCAAGCGGCAAAUAUUCGUUCGUUCUUGGAUCCGUCUGAUCGCUUUGACCGUCUCUCGACAUCGGUCUCUCAUUCAGCAACAUCCUAGAGCUAUUCCUAAUGCUAUUGGGAAUUUACUGGAUUUCAUCUGCAAAAACACCCACUCGGCGGAAUACAGGAAUGACAUUCAUGAGUAUAUGACAGUUGCCAUAUCGAGCUCUAGUCCCAUCGCCGAUACCCUUCAAAACUGCCUGUGUCUUCGGAUGAACUGCUAUCCUGUCAAUGCGGCCUUGGUGGAAAAUGUUCUUCGAGUGAUUGCCGUUGUAAAUGGUGGUGGUAGCCAUGAUGGCCAAAAACGAAUGGCAGCCGUGCUAGAAUCUGCCUUAGAACAGUUUGAGGGAACACGUUCUGUUAUUUUUGAUUUGCUUCCGAUUGGAGGUUCAAAGGAGUUAGCAGCAGUUUCCUGGCAACAAGGCUGCAUUUUGAGUUGGUAUUGUCUUGUUAGCAACCAAGAGAAACCCGAUGCAGCAGAUGGGCCUUACCUUUUGGAACAAAUGCUCUCGAACUGCAAGGCACUUUCAUUGAGUGAAGCAAUUGAGCCAAAGCUCUGUUUCGUGUACGAAAGACUGCUAACUGUUUGGAAUCUUACCUCGCCAAAUCUCAGUCCUAAAAAGACAGCUGUGAAAGCAGAAUGGUGUGAAUUACUCGGCUCCUGGACUGAAGAAAACAAAAGUUGGUUAUCAACAAUUGGCCUGGGUAAAGCACCCAGACUGUCAUCCAAGGGUCGCUGUUUGGCUCACGUCAUAUUGUGUUACUUGCAGCAAUCUAAGAUAGCUCUGGAUCAGCUAGAGAACAGAUGGAGAGUAAAUCGUCAUAACGCAGACUGCAAGCCAGCAGUGGAGAGUGCCUUGGAAGCCUUGAAAUCGGGCAAACCUGAUGAUGGCUACACUGUUUAGUGGAUCGUCUGCAGUAGAAAUUCAUGGUUCAUCAGAAGUGGCAGCUAGGUGAAGUCCUUGAGUGCCUCAAGAAGGAAUCGCCGAACAUCGUCAUACAGUAUGUUUUCCUUCAACAAUUAAUCUUGCAUCUCCAACCGUGGAAUGAGUUACAUGUGACUUGAGACAAACAAACGGUGCAAUUGCAACAAUAAAAUUAGUUAGCGAUUAAAAUUUGCCAUAUCUUCAUGCCAACAACAAGGAUUCUGCUUUUUCACAGACCUUCAUUAUUAAUGUGGUUCUUCAGGUAUGGUCACUAUAUCAGCAGUUUAACACACAGUGUGAAUCGUAAAUACACCAAUCCCAGAGAAAACAUUCCAAUGGAAAAUAUUGGGAAUUUCUACCCUUCGAUCCUAAACUGCACAAUGCUGGAUUAGACAGUACAAAAAAUUCUUCUCACGGAAGUUUAUGAUUUUGGACUUGCUUGAGAUGACCCUUGAGACAAGAAGCUUUUCCUGCUUUGUGUGGACAGGAAUAUUAGAGGCAUUGAUGUCUGAAACCAACAAGUGUCUUGCAAAUAAAGUAAAAAGAAACAUUGAUGUUGGUUAUCCUCUGAGUGAUGCUGAAGCCUGGUAUCUUAUUGAUCCAUUGUUUCUAUUCAUGGGAAAAAGAAUGUUGUGUGGGAGAAACAGGAUCACAAUUGA